CGCGGGGUGGAGAAGAGGUAUCUCAUUAGGCUCAUAACCUAAAGAUCGAGGGUUCGAUUCCCUCCCCCGCAA
This 72-nucleotide transfer RNA is filed under the name Parabacteroides distasonis. RNAcentral describes it as "tRNA-Met". It matches the Rfam family "tRNA". Rfam says of the family: Transfer RNA (tRNA) molecules are approximately 80 nucleotides in length. Their secondary structure includes four short double-helical elements and three loops (D, anti-codon, and T loops). RNAcentral also lists the same sequence under 3 other names. The record is from RNAcentral. Lineage: Bacteria; Pseudomonadati; Bacteroidota; Bacteroidia; Bacteroidales; Tannerellaceae.